AACAGUUGAAGAGGGAGGAUAUACCAUGUCUACAGGUGUCAAUUUUGAAGAGGAGCUGAAGGGAUCAUCAUGAAUUGAUAGCCUUCCGUAACAAGUAUAUGUAAUCCUUCACUUGCGUCAUGG
Caenorhabditis elegans is the source of this 123-nucleotide non-coding RNA. Lineage: Eukaryota; Metazoa; Nematoda; Chromadorea; Rhabditida; Rhabditidae. The record is from Ensembl.